GAUGAACGCUGGCGGCGUGCCUAAUACAUGCAAGUCGAGCGAACAGACGAGGAGCUUGCUCCUCUGACGUUAGCGGCGGACGGGUGAGUAACACGUGGAUAACCUACCUAUAAGGCUGGGAUAACUUCGGGAAACCGGAGCUAAUACCGGAUAAUAUAUUGAACCGCAUGGUUCAAUAGUGAAAGACGGUUUUGCUGUCACUUAUAGAUGGAUCCGCGCCGCAUUAGCUAGUUGGUAAGGUAACGGCUUACCAAGGCAACGAUGCGUAGCCGACCUGAGAGGGUGAUCGGCCACACUGGAACUGAGACACGGUCCAGACUCCUACGGGAGGCAGCAGUAGGGAAUCUUCCGCAAUGGGCGAAAGCCUGACGGAGCAACGCCGCGUGAGUGAUGAAGGUCUUCGGAUCGUAAAACUCUGUUAUUAGGGAAGAACAAAUGUGUAAGUAACGAUGCACGUCUUGACGGUACCUAAUCAGAAAGCCACGGCUAACUACGU
RNAcentral lists this ribosomal RNA (496 nucleotides) under uncultured bacterium. RNAcentral describes it as "partial 16S ribosomal RNA". It matches the Rfam family "Bacterial small subunit ribosomal RNA", at positions 28 to 506 of the family's 1533-position model. The record is from RNAcentral.